AGUCGCAGUAGAGUAGAACCCGAGAGCAGAACAGCACAGUCUCAGCCAACUCCAGAUGCCAGCCUGGCCUCUAAACACCAGCACAGCCUCAAGCUUCUGAAACAGCUUCCUGGAAGCAGAGGACUCCUCUCUUCCACACAGAACCGUCCGCUAUUAGUCUAACUGUACCUUCCAGGCUUGGGCUCUUCUCCUGUCUCACUGCUCUGCAACUUCCCAUUGCCUCCAUCCCAAAGGGGUACCAACCUUUCGCAUCUUGCUCCUCAGACCAAGUUUGCAGUGCUGAGGCUUCCAAGAGCCCCUCCUGCUCAGGCCCCAGCCCUCUAUAAAUCCUCUUAUAGAGGCCUGAGUGUGGGAGGGGAUGGAGGGAGGAGAGGGAAACUUGGAACCUAUUCAGCCCCAAACAAUGCAAGGUCUGGGUGAUGAAAUGAGGUCUCCAGAACUGACCUGCACUUUUGGAGCUACGAGGUUAUAAAGGAGUGAGGUCCACCUGGUAAUGGGAUAAACAGGCUCCAGGAUGGUCCUCGAAGGCAUAGGACAGCCUGGUUAUUGGUGCUUCUCCUUCUUCCCUGGCUAUCAGGGGCUUCAGUCCUGCAUGUGGACAAGUCCCUUGGGCCUUACUCCUAUGCUGGAUGGUCAUACUUAACCUUAACAGGUCCUGCACGUCUGUCAAAUCUUAAAAGAUCAGAUCACUAAA
Myodes glareolus (Bank vole) is the source of this 694-nucleotide non-coding RNA. The record is from RefSeq and is a predicted model, not a curated record. Lineage: Eukaryota; Metazoa; Chordata; Mammalia; Rodentia; Cricetidae.